This 440-nucleotide ribosomal RNA is filed under the name uncultured bacterium. Its description in RNAcentral is "bacterial SSU rRNA". It matches the Rfam family "Bacterial small subunit ribosomal RNA", at positions 338 to 795 of the family's 1533-position model. The record is from RNAcentral.
CCUACGGGUGGCUGCAGUGGGGAAUAUUGCACAAUGGGCGAAAGCCUGAUGCAGCAACGCCGCGUGAGCGAUGAAGGCCUUCGGGUCGUAAAGCUCUGUCCUAAGGGAAGAAGUUUGACGGUACCUUAGGAGGAAGCCCCGGCUAACUACGUGCCAGCAGCCGCGGUAAUACGUAGGGGGCGAGCGUUAUCCGGAAUCACUGGGCGUAAAGGGUGCGUAGGCGGCCAAUAGAGUCUGGGGUGAAAGGCUACGGCUCAACCGUAGUAAGCCUUGGAAACUUAUUGGCUUGAGUGCAGGAGAGGAGAGUGGAAUUCCUAGUGUAGCGGUGAAAUGCGUAGAUAUUAGGAGGAACACCAGUGGCGAAGGCGACUCUCUGGACUGUAACUGACGCUGAGGCACGAAAGCGUGGGGAGCGAACAGGAUUAGAUACCCUAGUAGUC